Molecule: ribosomal RNA, 730 nt
Filed under: bacterium IMCC8418
Lineage: Bacteria
Description: bacterial SSU rRNA
Rfam family: Bacterial small subunit ribosomal RNA
Source: RNAcentral
AUUGAACGUGGCGGCAGGCCUAAUACAUGCAAGUCGAGCGGAAACGAUGGGAGCUUGCUCUCAGGCGUCGAGCGGCGGACGGGUGAGUAACGCGUAGGAAUCUACCCAGUAGCGGGGGGAUAGCCCGAGGAAACUCGGAUUAAUACCGCAUACGCCCCACGGGGGAAAGGCCGGGAUCUUCGGACCGGUCACUAUUGGAGGAGCCUGCGUAGGAUUAGCUUGUUGGUGAGGUAAAGGCUCACCAAGGCUACGAUCCUUAGCUGGUCUGAGAGGACGAUCAGCCACACUGGAACUGAGACACGGUCCAGACUCCUACGGGAGGCAGCAGUAGGGAAUAUUGUGCAAUGGGCGAAAGCCUGACACAGCCAUGCCGCGUGUGUGAAGAAGGCCCUAGGGUUGUAAAGCACUUUCAGUAGGGAGGAAUUAGUAGUGUUAAUAACUCUGCGAAAUGACGUUACCUACAGAAGAAGCACCGGCAAACUCCGUGCCAGCAGCCGCGGUAAUACGGAGGGUGCGAACGUUAAUCGGAAUUACUGGGCGUAAAGCGCGCGUAGGUGGUUUAUUAAGUGGGAUGUGAAAGCCCCGGGCUUAACCUGGGAACUGCAUUCCAAACUGAUAAACUAGAGUACGAUAGAGGGGGGUAGAAUUCAGAGUGUAGCGGUGAAAUGCGUAGAUAUUCUGAGGAAUACCGGUGGCGAAGGCGGCCCCCUGGAUUGAUACUGACACUGAG